RNAcentral lists this unclassified non-coding RNA (262 nucleotides) under Hevea brasiliensis (rubber tree). The record is from RNAcentral. Lineage: Eukaryota; Viridiplantae; Streptophyta; Magnoliopsida; Malpighiales; Euphorbiaceae.
AGCCAAACCAACCACAACCCUUCGCAUUUCAAAGAGUUAGGUGUCCAAGUCUCGCAAAUGGCCGUGUCAUCGUGUCCGUGUCCCAACUACUCCGCCGCAGCCGCCGCUUUCUCUCCUUCCUUCGGGUGCCGCUCUGAUCCGUCCGGCACGGACCAGCCGAGUCACGGCCGGUUUUCUUGCCGAGUCAAUUCGGUUCGUCAUGGAACGGCGUCAUUUCUCGGCGGCGGAAUGCAAUCUCUGAUCUUGAAGUUCCCUCCCAACU